Long non-coding RNA from Orcinus orca (killer whale), 2800 nucleotides. RefSeq lists it as uncharacterized. Lineage: Eukaryota; Metazoa; Chordata; Mammalia; Artiodactyla; Delphinidae. The record is from RefSeq and is a predicted model, not a curated record. The transcript is spliced from 3 exons.
ACCCCUAACUCAGGGGCUUCCCUGGUGGUCCAGUGGUAAAGACUGUGCGCUUCCAAUGCAGGUGCGCUAACAAUGCAGGGGGUGCAAGUUCGAUCCCUGGUGGGGGAAGUAAAAUCCCACAUGCCGGGUGGCAUGGCCAAAAAAAAAGCCAAACAAACAAAAACACCACCCCUAACUCAAAGACCGCAUGGGAGUGGAUCUGAGAUCUGUCUUCCACUCCAUUCCUUGGUGCCCUGCAGUAAAUGCUGUUCUUUCCUUAACCACAACCAGGUGGCAGUAGAUUGGCUUUGUGAAGCCAGCGGACUAAGUUCCGUUUGGUAACACAAACAUCAGCACUCCCACAGAUUUUAGUAUGGUCCUUUUGUGAAGAACAAAAUCUGUCCUUAGAACUGGAGCCACUGUUUUCCUGUUUUCCAGCACCGCUCAUUGUGGAGUUUAGCCUUUUUUCCUGAAAAGCCUGGUAGGUUCGUGCAUCUAUGUGAACUACAUUACCCAGAACGCUCAACGGAAAAGGGCAGUAUGAGUAACCAAUGAGUUCUCAGGAGAUAGGCAGUUUCCGUUUGAGGCGCAACUUGUAAGGGCGGGACCUCCGGCCUCCUCCUCAAGGAGACCAUUUUACUGCCCAUUUUAACUGCUAUGGGUCAGUUCCGGAGCUCCGUGUUAGAAACGGGGUGACGGAACCGGGAAGGUCCGAGUAGAGGCAUAGUCCCCAUUGCACAGAGGCCGGUCUGAGGCUCGGCGACGCCGCCCGUGGGCCCCGCACCAGGCCCGGGAGAGGGUCCGCCGUGCCCUGGUCCCACUUCUCCCGCGGCUCCCGGCGCCGCUCCGCUCACAGAGUCCGAUGGCGGCGGCGGCGGCGCUUAGGCACCAGCCUCAGAGUCCGAAAGCUGCAGAAGUACUUAUGGAAACAAAACAGGCUCCGGACGCGCAGGCUCAGCGGCCAUGGCUCACAGGCCCAGCCGCUCCGCGGCAUGUGGGAUCUUCCCAGACUGGGGCACGAACCCGUGUCCCUUGCAUCGGCAGUAGAGGCUUUUGAAGACUGGAAGAACUGAAGCAAAUUCAAGAAUUGUGUGUGUCCCCAUGUAACCCAUUUUCUUUAUUUUUGAAACUGCUACCUGGCCAAAUGCUCAGUACUGAGAACUACAGUAGUAGUUGUAGUAGGUGAAAGGUGAGAAAUUUUUCAGAGGAGACAUAAUGGGUCACUUGAGUGUUUAUUUAUGUAGGAGAAAUGAUAAGAUUCGUUAAAAAAUUCAAUUAAAAUAAAUUAUUUUUUAAAUAUUGUAUUUUUUAACCAUUUAACUUUAGUUUUAAGUACUAAAUGAAUAUUUUUAAUGAAAUAUAAGUAAUUUUUAGCAAAAUUUGACAGCCAUUAGCACCUAAGAGCAACUUUCAAAGACCUACAUUUUCAUGUAGUCUUUAUUGUCCAUAUUUAAUAAUCAUUUGUUUUUUAUUAUGACUAACUUAUAAACAAUACUUGGUAAUUGAAAAAUAGUCUUACCUGUGGCUAAAUGUGUAAUUCUGCAGUUCUGUGGUGUCUGCUUUACUUCAAAUUGAUUGGAAAAUUGUUUUAAUAUUUUUAUGUUUAAUCAUGUAAAAUGCUUUUUAAUGUGUGCAGAUAUGAAGCACAUAACUUGUCUAAAUAUUAUUUCAAUCUAGAAUAUUUAGGUAAUGUGGUUGUUAUUAAUGAUAAAUUUUACUGAAAUAAGUUAUAUUUAUUACCACUAAUAAAGCAUCAUAGUAACAUUACCUCCCAGAAUGAGUUUUUCUUUUCAACAUUAGUUUAUAUUCCUGUAGUAAAUUAAGACGCUGCAUGGAUUUUUUUUCAAUAUUUUAAUUUGACGUUUUCCUAUUAUUUACAGGCUCAAAAUUUUUAGUAAUUGCUCAGUGACUCAUUAGAUGAUCUCUUGAAUGUGGUGCCAUUACCUUGAAAUGUUGAGUCUUUUUAUUCUUUUCACCAAUAAAUGUUGACUUUGAAAUCUGUCCUAAUUUAAGAUCCUCAAAAUUAUCUGUUGUUCCCUUACCACAUUUUUCAAAAGCAUAAAUAUUAUGUGAACUUUUUUUAUGCCUAUUAUACUGCAGUGAUCUGUGAGGGGCCUAUCCUCUCCUGUUCCCACAACUUUACAUGGUAUUUACAGUGAGAAACUUGUGGUCACUUAAAUAUAUGCGAAUUAAAAAAUCAAUGUCAAAACUCAUUACUGCAGAGACUGAAUAUCAUUUUUGGUAAUGAUUCAUUCUUCAAAAUUGUUUUAUGAUUCUAUAUCUUAAUAGAUGUAAAAGACAUCUGAAGAAAAUAAAGCAAUUUCCUUCACUCUUUGAUCUGACACUCAAUACUUCAGUAUAGGAAUGAACACAGCUCAUAGUGCUUCUAACUCUCCAUUCUCUGUUCUUUGCAAUCCUUGCAGGUGUUUCUUCUUACACUAUCUCUCAGUGGGUUCUACAUUAGCAACAAAAUGAAAAUUAAAAACGUUCACCUUCAGAGGAUAUGACUAGCGUCCUGAUCAGUGUCACUUGGGAAAUCUCUCAUAACUGUAAGCUUAUUAUUACAUAAUGAUAAGGAAAUUGGGUUUGGAGAUGUAUAUUUUGUGAUGCGUCUGUUAGAAUCCAAAACCUAACUCCAAUUUGUAAAAGUGUUUAAUAAAAUCCUACACUGAGUUUUAGUUUUUGAAACCCUCAGAACCACUUUGGGUUUUUUCAAGUGUGUUGUAGGUUCUGGUUGUGAUACAGUAAGAGACUGACUCACACUCCUACCAUAAACGACUAUAAAAGUGGCAAAAUAUGCGGAGUUCCUGCUUUGAGGAGU